UAUGCUUUGGGGAGCUGUAAGUAAGCUUUGAUCCAGAGAUUUCCGAAUGGGGAAACCCAGCACGAGUUAUGUCGUGUUAUCUGCAUGUGAAUACAUAGCAUGCAAGAAGGCAGACCCGGAGAACUGAAACAUCUUAGUACCCGGAGGAAGAGAAAGAAAAAUCGAUUCCCUGAGUAGCGGCGAGCGAAACGGGAAGAGCCCAAACCAAUAAGCUUGCUUAUUGGGGUUGUAGGACACUCUGUACGGAGUUACAAAAGAAUUUGUUAGACGAAUAACCUGGAAAGGUUAAUCAUAGAAGGUAAUAAUCCUGUAGUCGAAAACGAAUUCUCUCUUGAGUGGAUCCUGAGUACGACGGAGCACGUGAAAUUCCGUCGGAAUCUGGGAGGACCAUCUCCUAAGGCUAAAUACUCUCUAGUGACCGAUAGUGAACCAGUACCGUGAGGGAAAGGUGAAAAGUACCCCGGAAGGGGAGUGAAAGAGAACUUGAAACCGUGUGCUUACAAGUAGUCAGAGCCCGUUAAUGGGUGAUGGCGUGCCUUUUGUAGAAUGAACCGGCGAGUUACGAUCUGAUGCAAGGUUAAGCAGAAAAUGUGGAGCCGUAGCGAAAGCGAGUCUGAAUAGGGCGAAUGAGUAUUUGGUCGUAGACCCGAAACCAGGUGAUCUACCCUUGGUCAGGUUGAAGUUCAGGUAACACUGAAUGGAGGACCGAACCGACUUACGUUGAAAAGUGAGCGGAUGAACUGAGGGUAGCGGAGAAAUUCCAAUCGAACUUGGAGAUAGCUGGUUCUCUCCGAAAUAGCUUUAGGGCUAGCCUCAAGUGAUGAUUAUUGGAGGUAGAGCACUGUUUGGACGAGGGGCCCCUCUCGGGUUACCGAAUUCAGACAAACUCCGAAUGCCAAAUAAUUUAACUUGGGAGUCAGAAUGUGGGUGAUAAGGUCCAUAUUCGAAAGGGAAACAGCCCAGACCACCAGCUAAGGUCCCAAAAUAUAUGUUAAGUGGAAAAGGAUGUGGCGUUGCCCAGACAACUAGGAUGUUGGCUUAGAAGCAGCCAUCAUUUAAAGAGUGCGUAAUAGCUCACUAGUCGAGUGACACUGCGCCGAAAAUGUACCGGGGCUAAACAUAUUACCGAAGCUGUGGAUUGUCCUUUGGACAAUGGUAGGAGAGCGUUCUAAGGGCGUUGAAGCAUGAUCGCAAGGACAUGUGGAGCGCUUAGAAGUGAGAAUGCCGGUGUGAGUAGCGAAAGACGGGUGAGAAUCCCGUCCACCGAUUGACUAAGGUUUCCAGAGGAAGGCUCGUCCGCUCUGGGUUAGUCGGGUCCUAAGCUGAGGCCGACAGGCGUAGGCGAUGGAUAACAGGUUGAUAUUCCUGUACCACCAUUAUUCGUUUUAAGCGAUGGGGGGACGCAGUAGGAUAGGCGAAGCGUGCUGUUGGAGUGCACGUCCAAGCAGUGAGAUUGA
RNAcentral lists this ribosomal RNA (1457 nucleotides) under Staphylococcus pseudintermedius. RNAcentral's name for it is "partial 23S ribosomal RNA". It matches the Rfam family "Bacterial large subunit ribosomal RNA", at positions 72 to 1528 of the family's 2925-position model. Lineage: Bacteria; Bacillati; Bacillota; Bacilli; Caryophanales; Staphylococcaceae. The record is from RNAcentral.